CCUUCACGAAGUCGGAAUUGCUAGUAAUGGCAGGUCAGCAUACUGCCGUGAAUACGUUCCCGGGCCUUGUACACACCGCCCGUCACACCAUGAGAGUUAGGAAUACCCGAAGCCUGUGAGCUAACUUUUAGAGGCAGCAGUCGAAGGUAGAACUAAUGAUUGGGGUGAAGUCGUAACAAGGUACC
Molecule: ribosomal RNA, 185 nt
Filed under: uncultured bacterium
Lineage: Bacteria
Description: partial 16S ribosomal RNA
Rfam family: Bacterial small subunit ribosomal RNA
Source: RNAcentral